GCUAACCCUAGCCCCAAACCCAACCCACCCUACUACCAACCAACCCUAACCAAACCAUUCACCCAAACAAAGUAUAGGCGAUAGAAAUUACAAUCCGGCGCAAUAGACACAGUACCGUAAGGGAAAGAUGAAAAAACACAACCAAGCACAACAUAGCAAGGACUAACCCCUGUACCUUUUGCAUAAUGAAUUAACUAGAAACAACUUUGCAAGGAGAGCCAAAGCCAAGACCCCCGAAACCAGACGAGCUACCCAUAAACAGCUAAAAGAGCACACCCGUCUAUGUAGCAAAAUAGUGGGAAGAUUUAUGGGUAGAGGCGACAAACCUACCGAGCCUGGUGAUAGCUGGUUGUCCAAGACAGAAUCUUAGUUCAACUUUAAAUUUACUUACAGAACCCCUAAUCCCCUCGUAAAUUUAAUUGCUAGUCUAAAGAGGAACAGCUCUUUAGACACUAGGAAAAAACCUUAAAAAGAGAGUAAAAAACACAACACCCAUAGUGGGCCCAAAAGCAGCCAUCAAUUAAGAAAGCGUUCAAGCUCGACACCUAAACACCAAAAAAUACCAAACACAAAACUGAACUCCUUACUCCCCAUUGGACUAAUCUAUUGCCCCAUAGAAGAAACAAUGUUAGUAUAAGUAACAUGAAGAUAUUCUCCCCCGCAUAAGUCUACGUCAGACCGAAACAUCACACUGACAAUUAACGGUCCAAUAUGCAUAGUUAACAAAUAAACUAUUAUUUUUUCCCCCCGUUAAUCCAACACAGGCAUGCCUAUAAGGAAAGGUUAAAAAAAGUAAAAGGAACUCGGCAAAUCUCACCCCGCCUGUUUACCAAAAACAUCACCUCUAGCAUUACCAGUAUUAGAGGCACCGCCUGCCCGGUGACAUACGUUUAACGGCCGCGGUACCCUGACCGUGCAAAGGUAGCAUAAUCACUUGUUCCUUAAAUGGGGACUUGUAUGAAUGGCUUCACGAGGGUUCGACUGUCUCUUACUUUUAACCAGUGAAAUUGACCUGCCCGUGAAGAGGCGGGCAUAACAUAACAAGACGAGAAGACCCUAUGGAGCUUCAAUUUACCAGUGCAAAUAACAUACAACAAGCCCACAGGCCCUAAAUCACCAAACCUGCACUGAAGAUUUCGGUUGGGGCGACCUCGGAGCACAACCCAACCUCCGAGAAACACAUGUUAAGACCUCACAAGUCAAAACGAACUUCCACACACAAUUGAUCCAACAACUUGACCAACGGAACAAGUUACCCUAGGGAUAACAGCGCAAUCCUGUUCUAGAGUCCAUAUCAACAACAGGGUUUACGACCUCGAUGUUGGAUCAGGACAUCCUAAUGGUGCAGCCGCUAUUAAAGGUUCGUUUGUUCAACGAUUAAAGUCCUACGUGAUCUGAGUUCAGACCGGAGCAAUCCAGGUCGGUUUCUAUCUAUUUCACAUUUCUCCCUGUACGAAAGGACAAGAGAAAUGGGGCCUACUUCACAUAAGCGCCUUUCCCAAACAAAUGAUAUCAUCUCAAUUUAACACCACACCAACACCCACCCAAGAAAAGGGCUAU
This is a non-coding RNA of Pongo abelii (Sumatran orangutan), 1560 nucleotides long. Lineage: Eukaryota; Metazoa; Chordata; Mammalia; Primates; Hominidae. The record is from Ensembl.